ACGGAGGGUGCAAGCGUUAUCCGGAUUCACUGGGUUUAAAGGGUGCGUAGGCGGGUUUGUAAGUCAGUGGUGAAAUCCCGAAGCUUAACUUCGGAACUGCCGUUGAUACUACAGGUCUUGAAUACUCGGGAGGUGAGCGGAAUAUGUCAUGUAGCGGUGAAAUGCUUAGAUAUGACAUAGAACACCGAUUGCGAAGGCAGCUCACUACAGAGUCAUUGACGCUGAGGCACGAAAGCGUGGGGAUCAAACAGGA
This 253-nucleotide ribosomal RNA is filed under the name uncultured prokaryote. RNAcentral describes it as "partial 16S ribosomal RNA". It matches the Rfam family "Bacterial small subunit ribosomal RNA", at positions 525 to 777 of the family's 1533-position model. The record is from RNAcentral.